This 229-nucleotide ribosomal RNA is filed under the name uncultured bacterium. RNAcentral describes it as "partial 16S ribosomal RNA". It matches the Rfam family "Bacterial small subunit ribosomal RNA", at positions 568 to 796 of the family's 1533-position model. The record is from RNAcentral.
UGCGCAGGCGGACUUUUAAGGCAGUGGUGAAAUCCCGAGGCUCAACCUCGGAACUGCCAUUGAUACUGGAAGUCUUGAAUUUGGUUGAAGUGGGCGGAAUGUAGCAUGUAGCGGUGAAAUGCUUAGAUAUGCUACAGAACACCGAUCGCGAAGGCAGCUCACUAAGCCAAUAUUGACGCUCAGGCACGAAAGCGUGGGGAGCAAACAGGAUUAGAUACCCUGGUAGUCC